GCUGGAGUAGCCAAGUGGUCGACGGCAGCACUUUCGUAAAGUGCCGGAGUAAUCCCUCGCAGGUUCAAAUCCUGUCUCCAGCU
Molecule: transfer RNA, 83 nt
Filed under: Richelia sp. RM2_1_2
Lineage: Bacteria; Bacillati; Cyanobacteriota; Cyanophyceae; Nostocales; Nostocaceae
Description: tRNA-Thr
Rfam family: tRNA
About the family: Transfer RNA (tRNA) molecules are approximately 80 nucleotides in length. Their secondary structure includes four short double-helical elements and three loops (D, anti-codon, and T loops).
Source: RNAcentral